Molecule: RNA transcript, 2527 nt
Organism: Camellia sinensis
Lineage: Eukaryota; Viridiplantae; Streptophyta; Magnoliopsida; Ericales; Theaceae
Gene name: casein kinase 1-like protein 3
Source: RefSeq, a predicted model, not a curated record
CGCAAGUUUCCCAACCACAGUCCAAAAAGUCUCACCCCCGAAACCCCUCCUUUCAAUCAACCCUUGUCUUUUCUUCCCCGGUUCCUCGCCCCCUGUGGUUUCAGUUUCUCGGGAAAAAAAAUUAUUUAAAUUUUUUCCAGCUCUCCAAUCAAUCUUUUCCGAUCAAUUGACUAGUUAAUUGAAUCGAACAUCGAAACCCUAGCUUUCUUUGAUCCCCUCAAAGGUUCGAUCGGCCGAUCUGAUUCCAAGCAUGGAGAGGAUCGUCGGAGGUAAAUACAAGCUCGGCCGCAAGAUCGGAAGUGGAUCAUUCGGAGAAAUCUUUCUCGCUACUCAUGUUGAUACGUUUGAGAUCCUUGCUGUGAAGAUCGAAAACAAUAAGACAAAACAUCCGCAACUGUUUUACGAAGCCAAGCUAUAUAAUAUCCUACAAGGGGGAAGUGGUAUUCCUAGCAUCAAAUGGUCUGGCAUAGAUGGGGAAGAUAAUAUACUUGUCAUGGAUUUGCUGGGACCAAGUCUUGAAGAUCUGUUUGUCUAUUGUGGUAGAAAGUUUUCAUUGAAGACAGUCUUGAUGUUAGCUGAUCAAAUGGUAACAAGAAUAGAGUACGUACACUCUAAAGGGUUCUUGCAUAGGGACAUUAAACCUGAUAACUUUCUCAUGGGCCUUGGUCGAAAAGCAAAUCAGGUUUACAUUAUUGACUUUGGGCUUGCAAAAAGAUAUCGGGAUUCUACAACCAAUCGCCACAUUCCUUACAGGGAGAACAAAAACUUGACAGGGACUGCACGUUAUGCAAGUUGCAAUACUCAUCUUGGCAUUGAGCAAAGCCGGCGGGAUGAUUUAGAGUCUCUUGGAUAUGUACUUCUAUAUUUCUUGAGAGGAAGCCUACCAUGGCAAGGUUUAAAAGCUGCAACAAAGAAGCAAAAGUAUGACAAGAUAUGUGAGAAGAAAUUAUCAACUCCUAUUGAGGUUUUAUGCAAGUCUCAUCCUGUGGAGUUUGCUUCAUAUUUCCAUUAUUGCCAUUCAUUGACAUUUGAUCAACGGCCUGAUUACGGAUUCUUAAAGCGUCUAUUCCGUGAGUUGUUCAGCCGUGAAGGAUAUGAAUUUGAUUACAUAUUUGAUUGGACUAUCCUAAAGUACCAGCAAGCACAAAAGAGUAAAACUCAGCCGCACUUAUCUCCAGUCCCUGGAGAGGGCAACAGUAGAGCAACACCAAUGGAUGUGGACAAAUAUCAAGGCAAUCAUGCUUCUUCAGCUGAGGUAACGGAACGCAUGAGAUUGGGCAAUCCUGGUAGUCCUGCCAUUCGCAUGCAGUUUAAAUCCCCGAAGGGGAGGAAUUUGAAUUCAGAAAAUCCCCUUGAAAGAAAUAUUGCGAGCAAUACAGAAUUGCCAUCGACUUCAUAUUCUCCUGCUGGCGCAUCAAAACAAAAGGCCUCUAAAGCUGUGUUGCCUGCUGAAAGCACAAACUUUAGUCGUGGGAAUGUUGAUAAAAUUGGUCCUUCAAGCAGCUGGAUUUCUUCCCUGCACCGUGUUUCUUCUUCCAAGUGAUCAUAUAUGCUGUUGUCCUGUGGAUUUGGUAAUGAUCUUCAUGAUGCAUCUAGGGAGGUUUGAAUGUAGCAUGGAUAUGGAUUUCCCAUCAUUUCUCUAUGGAUGCAAGUUCAUUUUGAAAAGUCUCAAGAUAACAACAAACUCGUGGGUUGACUCUUGAUACUGACCACCCAUAGCUCUGUUGACAAGAUUUAGUGAUGGAUCUAUAGAGCAACAAAGUUGUCUGAUGUGACCAACACGUUCCUAAGGAUUUCUUCUUUGCGGGUGGAAUGAAUCAGGGAAGUACACCAUUACCAUGAAGAUGGUACCAAAGCGUCUACCUUGCUCACACUUUGCCCAAAAGGAAGUCCGUCUUACUAUCGCACAGGUUUUUCCAUCUGGAAGGGGCAGCCUGUGAAGCCAUGCCCAGCCUGUUGCUUACUUGGCUUAAUUGGUUGAAUGUGUUGCUCACCAACUUGUCAAUAGGAGCCGCAGAUUUCCAUCAUGCUUUGUAUUUUACGGUGGCAAUGCGUUCGUUCACUGGGGAGGCUUUCCGGAUUAACAAGCUGACAGAGUAGGUAAAGAUUUGUGUGGUUUGGUCAUUAUCCAUUUUAGUAAUGUGUCAAAUGGAUAGAGCUCUUUGAAGCGGUCUUCAGAUUGCCGGUUGUCUUGCAGAUGUAUUUUGGUUUUGGAAGUCGGUACAUGAGUAAUGCUAAUGCUUCCCAAUUUGGAAGUUCAAUGUAUGCUUUCUAGCUCCACCAGUUCUUCUACGUGCACAAAAUCCGAUCACAAAACCAAACGUCACUCUCGUAUAUGAAGUGAGACCAAUACAUUUAAUGGGGUCUUGCUUUAUAUGAGAGAGUUGCGUUUGAUUAUGUGAUUAUGUGCACUUAGAAUUGUUUCGAUUUUGUGAUUCAGUUGGGUGUAUGGGAAAGGAAAUGAUUGAUGUUCCCUCCCCCAAAGUAGAAUUAUAAUCUUAAUGCAGGUUUUAUUGUUCAAAAUUUU